Molecule: RNA transcript, 1335 nt
Organism: Carica papaya (papaya)
Lineage: Eukaryota; Viridiplantae; Streptophyta; Magnoliopsida; Brassicales; Caricaceae
Source: RefSeq, a predicted model, not a curated record
GCGCCUUUCAUAGUCAUUCACGAAUGGGGGAAAUAGGUGCUUCUGGGAACUUCUCUCAUAAUAGAAUUGGUGAGCCAGGAUUUAGGAGCAGCUUUACGCUUCAAGGGUUUCCAGAUGGUGGAGUCUACAUGGGGGACAUGGAGUCAGGUGAAAAUUUUAGAAAGAGAAAGUCAAUGGGCAUGGGGUGGUGUCGUAUCUGUAAAGUUGACUGUGAAACAGUGGAGGGCCUGGAGUUCCACUCUCAAACAAGAGAGCACCAGAAGAUGGCGAUGGAUAUGGUCAUAACAAUCAAGGAAAAUGCAAAAAAACAUAAGUUGUCUACUAGUGAUCAUCCCUCAGUUGAUGAUGUAAGCAAGCCAAGGAAUUCAAACUUUGAGGGCCGCGGUAAAAGGAAUUAAGUCUUGUUGUGCUGCAAUGUGGAUCGCAUCAUUACUUUUGACUGAGGGGGGCUAACUUUGUUCCUUUGGUAUUAUGCGUUUAGCAACAUAGGUGACUCCCCAUUCUAUGCCUCUUUUUUGAUUUCGGGGUGGUUUAUGCUAGUCUUGCCAUUUCAGGUUGCUGCCUUGUUAAUGAAGAUGGUUAUUGGAACUGAAGUUCAGUGGCAAUAUCCUCAAUUCAAAUCCUUCGUCCCUCCUGUCGGCAAAGCAGGCAACAUAAGGGCUAAAAAUUCAGUGGAAAGGUUUACUCAUCAUCCAUAAUAAAUGUGUUUUUGGAAUGCAAAGCCUGCUUCUUCAUUAUGUACUUGCCAGGUUUGUGGUUUAUUCUUGGAUAUAUCUCAUCGUGACCUUGCACUCUAAAGUACUUAUUCUAUUUAGUGAUACUAUUAUUUGCUGGAUCAUCAAGUCUUGUAGCUUGUUGGCUCUAAUGUAUUUGUGCCAUGCAUUUGGGAAAGUAAAUUUAGAUGGUGGUAGAUUUAAAUAAACUACAUGUGUAGUUCAUAAGGAGCCAUGUUGUAUGUGUUGGGUUUAGGAUUUGCCAUCAUUGAUAAAGCUCAAUGCAGUGGUUUCGAAAAAAAGUUGUGGUUAGAUAAGUUUUUUCUGGUGUUAGAUUUUGGGCAUAUAGGACAAGUGUGUUGGGAUGUGAAUUGUUGAGUAGCUUUGCUAUGAAACUAAGCCAGUUUCCUCGAAAAGUUUAGUUCAAUAAGGACUAAUACCAAUUAAUGUGCUGAAAACAAGAAGAGUUAGUUGAACCUUGGUUAGAAAAUACUAGAGGACUCAAAACAGCUGUGAUUCUAAAUGGACUGGUACUUCUUUGUUAAUCCAUGUUAACUCUUAAGACUUUUUCCCCAUGCUAUGCAAGUAUUAUAGAUUUUCUAGAAUUUUUUAUUAGGCAAAA